AUGGCGGGCGUGCAGACCAUGGCUCGCUAUGGAAGGCCCUUCCCUUCCCUCUCUCUGUUCGGGCCAUGCUCAGGCAGUCUUUUCUCUUCUCUUCCCGCAAAAAAAGUCUUUUCUCUUCAUGAUCUGAACAUGUUGGAGGCCAUUAUUUCUCCACUGCCGGAGUCUAGCCUCCCUCCGUGGGAUGCCAUGGAGAUGAAACUCCCCUCGACGAAAGAAUUCAAGGGCAUGUGGGAGAGAGAGGAGGUCCAUGGAGAAGAAGCUCUGCUCCAACCCUCCCUGCCUCCUAAUACAAGAUGUCUUUUUUUGUGUGUGCUUGUAUUGCAGCAGCCAUGUGCGUAUCAAAAAAAGGGUCCAGUUUGCAGCAGUCACAUGAUAUGGACAUGUUUUUUCAUCACAAUUGGAUUUUUGGAUUUACUAGGCUAA
Molecule: ribosomal RNA, 423 nt
Filed under: Triticum aestivum (bread wheat)
Lineage: Eukaryota; Viridiplantae; Streptophyta; Magnoliopsida; Poales; Poaceae
Description: partial small subunit ribosomal RNA
Source: RNAcentral